This 445-nucleotide ribosomal RNA is filed under the name uncultured soil bacterium. Its description in RNAcentral is "bacterial SSU rRNA". It matches the Rfam family "Bacterial small subunit ribosomal RNA", at positions 26 to 518 of the family's 1533-position model. The record is from RNAcentral.
AGAACGAACGCUGGCGGCAUGCCUAACACAUGCAAGUCGAACGGGACCUUCGGGUCUAGUGGCGCACGGGUGCGUAACGCGUGGGGAUCUGCCCUUAGGUACGGAAUAACUCAGGGAAACUUGAGCUAAUACCGUAUAAUGACUUCGGUCCAAAGAUUUAUCGCCUAGGGAUGAACCCGCGUAGGAUUAGCUUGUUGGUGAGGUAAAGGCUCACCAAGGCGACGAUCCUUAGCUGGUCUGAGAGGAUGAUCAGCCACACUGGGACUGAGACACGGCCCAGACUCCUACGGGAGGCAGCAGUGGGGAAUAUUGGACAAUGGGCGAAAGCCUGAUCCAAGCAAUGCGCGUGAGUGAUGAAGGCCUUAGGGUUGUAAAGCUCUUUACCCGGGAUGAUAAUGACAGUAACCGGAGAAUAAGCUCCGGCUAACUCCGCGCCAGCAGCCGC